UUAUAUUAAAGUUAUAUGAGUGCUUUUUUGAAAAGAUUAAAAAGGAAGUUCGGUGAGAGACCGACGCAGCCCCGCUACUGUAAGUACAGACAAAAUCUUAAUUAACCACUGGUGUAUUCCGGGAAGGUAAGAAAGUAGGAUGAAGUACAAGCCAGGAGACUUGCUUAUAUGAUAUAAAUGCU
RNAcentral lists this non-coding RNA (182 nucleotides) under Clostridium tetanomorphum. Lineage: Bacteria; Bacillati; Bacillota; Clostridia; Eubacteriales; Clostridiaceae. The record is from RNAcentral.